AUUGAACGCUGGCGGCAGGCCUAACACAUGCAAGUCGAGCGGGGUUUUCGGACCUAGCGGCGGACGGGUGAGUAAUGCGUAGGAAGCUACCCGAUAGAGGGGGAUACCAGUUGGAAACGACUGUUAAUACCGCAUAAUGUCUACGGACCAAAGUGUGGGACCUUCGGGCCACAUGCUAUCGGAUGCGCCUACGUGGGAUUAGCUAGUUGGUGAGGUAAUGGCUCACCAAGGCGACGAUCUCUAGCUGGUUUGAGAGGAUGAUCAGCCACACUGGAACUGAGACACGGUCCAGACUCCUACGGGAGGCAGCAGUGGGGAAUAUUGGACAAUGGCGCAAGCCUGAUCCAGCCAUGCCGCGUGUGUGAAGAAGGCCU
RNAcentral lists this ribosomal RNA (374 nucleotides) under uncultured bacterium. Its description in RNAcentral is "bacterial SSU rRNA". It matches the Rfam family "Bacterial small subunit ribosomal RNA", at positions 30 to 417 of the family's 1533-position model. The record is from RNAcentral.